UACGUAGGGUGCGAGCGUUAAUCGGAAUUACUGGGCGUAAAGCGUGCGCAGGCGGUUUUGUAAGCCAGGGUGUGAAAUCCCCGGGCUCAACCUGGGAAUGGCAUUUGGGACUGCAAGGCUGGAGUGCGGCAGAGGAGACUGGAAUUCCUGGUGUAGCAGUGAAAUGCGUAGAUAUCAGGAGGAACACCGAUGGCGAAGGCGGUCUC
RNAcentral lists this ribosomal RNA (206 nucleotides) under uncultured bacterium. RNAcentral describes it as "partial 16S ribosomal RNA". It matches the Rfam family "Bacterial small subunit ribosomal RNA", at positions 524 to 729 of the family's 1533-position model. The record is from RNAcentral.